CAGCCUCAGGACGCGAGUGGUCGGAGAGCCGAGGGGCGGGGCCAAGGAGCAGCGCGCCGUCGCCUCCCUCCGCCCCGCCGCGGCGAAAGGUCUAGAAACCCGAAACGGCGAAAAAAACAUGCUUUCUCUCCCCAAGGGUGUAGUUGGCGGUUUGCCGUACACGAAAUUGAGAAAAUGAGGCCACAACCGCACAGAUACCAAAAUGGCAACUGAUUGGCUUCUACGCGUGUCCCGUGUUUUUGUCUGACUCUGAGGCCACAAUCCUCAAGGAGAAGGGAAGAAAGGUUCAAUAAUUGACGAUACCUCCAUACAACAGGAGAGAGAAAUAUCAUCUUUCAAGAAAAAUAUUAAUUUCAUAUUUCAUGAAAAAUAUUCAAAAACAUGAAAUGAGCAAACAGUA
Microcebus murinus (gray mouse lemur) is the source of this 400-nucleotide non-coding RNA. Lineage: Eukaryota; Metazoa; Chordata; Mammalia; Primates; Cheirogaleidae. The record is from RefSeq and is a predicted model, not a curated record.